UUAAGCAUAUCAAUAAGCGGAGGAAAAGAAACUAACAAGGAUUCCCCUAGUAACUGCGAGUGAAGCGGGAAAAGCUCAAAUUUGAAAUCUGGCGGUUCCUUGGACCGUCCGAGUUGUAAUCUAGAGAAGUGUUACCUGUGCUGGACCGUGUACAAGUCUCCUGGAAUGGAGCAUCACAGAGGGUGAGAAUCCCGUCUUUGACACGGACUGCCUGUGCGAUAUGGUGCGCUCUCGAAGAGUCGAGUUGUUUGGGAAUGCAGCUCAAAAUGGGUGGUAAAUGCCAUCUAAAGCUAAAUAUUGGCGAGAGACCGAUAGCGAACAAGUACCGUGAGGGAAAGAUGAAAAGAACUUUGGAAAGAGAGUUAAACAGUACGUGAAAUUGCUGAAAGGGAAACGCUUGAAGUCAGUCGCGUCGGCUAGAAAUCAGUCUUGCUUCUGCUUGAUGUACUUUCUGGUCUGACGGGUCAGCAUCAAUUUUGACCGCCGGAUAAAGUCAUCGGGGGUUUAAUCAUCCCGUGUUGCAUACGGUGGUUGGGAUUGAGGAACUCAGCACGCCGCGAGGCCGGGUCCUUUGGACCACGUUCGUGCUCAGGAUGCUGGCAUAAUGGCUUUAAUCGACCCGUCUUGAAACACGGACCAAGGAGUCUAACAUGCCUGCGAGU
Molecule: ribosomal RNA, 662 nt
Filed under: Inocybe cinnamomea
Lineage: Eukaryota; Fungi; Basidiomycota; Agaricomycetes; Agaricales; Inocybaceae
Description: eukaryotic LSU rRNA
Rfam family: Eukaryotic large subunit ribosomal RNA
Source: RNAcentral